Molecule: ribosomal RNA, 253 nt
Filed under: uncultured bacterium
Lineage: Bacteria
Description: partial 16S ribosomal RNA
Rfam family: Bacterial small subunit ribosomal RNA
Source: RNAcentral
UACAGAGGGUGCAAGCGUUAAUCGGAAUUACUGGGCGUAAAGGGCGCGUAGGCGGUUUUUUAAGUCAGAUGUGAAAUCCCUGGGCUCAACCUAGGAAUUGCAUUUGAUACUGAAUAACUUGAGUAUGGUAGAGGGAAGUGGAAUUUCCAGUGUAGCGGUGAAAUGCGUAGAUAUUGGAAGGAACAUCAGUGGCGAAGGCGACUUCCUGGACCAUUACUGACACUGAGGCACGAAAGCGUGGGGAGCGAACAGG